RNAcentral lists this ribosomal RNA (599 nucleotides) under uncultured bacterium. Its description in RNAcentral is "bacterial SSU rRNA". It matches the Rfam family "Bacterial small subunit ribosomal RNA", at positions 28 to 673 of the family's 1533-position model. The record is from RNAcentral.
AAUGAACGCUGGCGGCAUGCCUAACACAUGCAAGUCGAACGAAGCCUUCGGGUUUAGUGGCGCACGGGUGCGUAACGCGUGGGAAUCUGCCCCUUGGUUCGGAAUAACAGUUGGAAACGACUGCUAAUACCGGAUGAUGACGUAAGUCCAAAGAUUUAUCGCCGAGGGAUGACCCCGCGUAGGAUUAGGUAGUUGGUGUGGUAAAGGCGCACCAAGCCGACGAUCCUUAGCUGGUCUGAGAGGAUGAUCAGCCACACUGGGACUGAGACACGGCCCACACUCCUACGGGAGGCAGCAGUGGGGAAUACUGGACAAUGGGCGAAAGCCUGAUCCAGCAAUGCCGCGUGAGUGAUGAAGGCCUUAGGGUUGUAAAGCUCUUUUACCCGGGAUGAUAAUGACAGUACCGGGAGAAUAAGCUCCGGCUAACUCCGUGCCAGCAGCCGCGGUAAUACGGAGGGAGCUAGCGUUAUUCGGAAUUACUGGGCGUAAAGCGCACGUAGGCGGCUUUGUAAGUAAGAGGUGAACGCCCAGCGCUCAACUCUGGAAUUGCCUUUUAGACUGCAUCGCUUGAAUCAUGGAGAGGUCAGUGGAAUUCCGAG